This 490-nucleotide ribosomal RNA is filed under the name uncultured bacterium. RNAcentral describes it as "partial 16S ribosomal RNA". It matches the Rfam family "Bacterial small subunit ribosomal RNA", at positions 30 to 507 of the family's 1533-position model. The record is from RNAcentral.
AUUGAACGCUGGCGGCAUGCUUUACACAUGCAAGUCGGACGGCAGCACAGAGAACCUUGCUUCUUGGGUGGCGCGUGGCGCACGGGAGUGUCAUAUAUCGGAACGUACUGAGUAAUGGGGGAUACCUAAUCGAAAGAUUAGCUAUUACCGCAUAUUCUCUGAAGAGGAAAGCUGGGGACCUUCAGGCCUUUCGUUUUUCGAUUGGCCGUUAACGGACUAGCUAGUUGGUGGGGUAAAGGCCUACCAAGGCGACGAUCAGUAGCGGGUCUGAGAGGAUGAUCGGCCACACUGGAACUGAGACACGGCCCAGACUCCUACGGGAGGCAGCAGUGGGGAAUCUUGGGCAAUGGGCGCAAGCCUGAUCGAGCCAUGCCGCGUGUGUGAAGAAGGCCUUCGGGUUGUAAAAGACUGUUGUCAGGGAAGAAAAGGCUGGUGAGAAUAUCGACAGGUGAUGACGGUACCUGAAGAGUAAGCACCGGCUAACUACGUG